RNAcentral lists this unclassified non-coding RNA (328 nucleotides) under soil metagenome. Its description in RNAcentral is "partial contains 5.8S ribosomal RNA, internal transcribed spacer 2, and large subunit ribosomal RNA". The stretch from base 1 to 120 matches the Rfam family "5.8S ribosomal RNA", at positions 35 to 154 of the family's 154-position model. The record is from RNAcentral.
GAUGAAGAACGUAGCGAAAUGCGAUAAGUAAUGUGAAUUGCAGAAUUCAGUGAAUCAUCGAAUCUUUGAACGCACAUUGCGCCCCUUGGUAUUCCGAGGGGCAUGCCUGUUCGAGCGUCAUUAUAACCCCUCAAGCCCAGCUUGGUGUUGGGGCCUGCCGCACGGGCAGCCCUUAAAAUCAGUGGCGGUGCCAUCUGGCUCUAAGCGUAGUAAUUCUUCUCGCUAUAGAGUCCCGGUGGAUGCUUGCCAUUAACCCCCAAUUUUCUAUGGUUGACCUCGGAUCAGGUAGGGAUACCCGCUGAACUUAAGCAUAUCAAUAAGCGGAGGA